AUUUAUUUCAAUUUUACAACCAUAAAGAUAGUUAGGUUACAAUUAUAAGUUACCCCAGUCAAACUAUUCCAUUGGCAGAAUUUCAGUUAUCCCCUAGAGAUUUUCUUCCAAUGGUAUAGAUUGACUGGGGUAACUUAUAAUUGUAACCUAACUAUCUCUAUGGUUGUAAAAUUGAAAUAAAU
This 182-nucleotide microRNA precursor is filed under the name Physcomitrium patens. RNAcentral describes it as "Physcomitrella patens miR11327 stem-loop (ppt-MIR11327)". Lineage: Eukaryota; Viridiplantae; Streptophyta; Bryopsida; Funariales; Funariaceae. The record is from miRBase by way of RNAcentral.